Molecule: ribosomal RNA, 347 nt
Filed under: uncultured bacterium
Lineage: Bacteria
Description: partial 16S ribosomal RNA
Rfam family: Bacterial small subunit ribosomal RNA
Source: RNAcentral
CCUACGGGAGGCAGCAGUGGGGAAUAUUGGGCAAUGGGCGCAAGCCUGACCCAGCAACGCCGCGUGAAGGAAGAAGGCGUUCGGGUUGUAAACUUCUUGUAAGAGGGAAGAGCAGAAGACGGUACCUCUUGAAUAAGCCACGGCUAACUACGUGCCAGCAGCCGCGGUAAUACGGAGGUGGCAAGCGUUGUCCGGAUUUACUGGGUGGAAAGGGCGUGCAGCCGGGAAGACAAGUCAGAUGUGAAAUCCCGCGGCUCAACCGCGGAACUGCAUUGGAAACUGUUUUUCUUGAGUACCGGAGAGUUCAUCGGCAUUCCUUGUGUAGCGGUGAACUGCGUCGCUAUCAG